GCUUCGGUGGCCUAGUGGCUAGAGCGUCCGCCUCGGACGUGGGAGGUCGUGGGUUCGAUUCCCCGGCAGAGUCA
Molecule: non-coding RNA, 74 nt
Organism: Potamilus streckersoni
Lineage: Eukaryota; Metazoa; Mollusca; Bivalvia; Unionida; Unionidae
Source: the annotation of a GenBank genome assembly